Molecule: long non-coding RNA, 424 nt
Organism: Aethina tumida (small hive beetle)
Lineage: Eukaryota; Metazoa; Arthropoda; Insecta; Coleoptera; Nitidulidae
Exons: 3
Source: RefSeq, a predicted model, not a curated record
GUCUUACGAAAAUAAUCAGUUCACAGAAAGUCCGUUUGCUGAAUGGUAGUAUUUCGCUCUCCGUACAAGCGUUCAAGUGGUGCGAUUACUUAAUCAAAAUCUAGAUUAGUAACUUGCUGCACAAUGAAGAUUCUCCCUCACCAAUCAAGCCGAUAACUCCGAAGUUGAAACUAGGGAAGCUUUGAGCUACAAACCACACUCCUCGGUUCUGCUGAUCGAAAAGGAUGGUAAUAGCAAGAAUGUUAGGUUUUUCGUAGAUGGUGACGUGGUUGUUACGACACUCUGGAGCAACGACAACAUCAAGACAUUACAGAUAUAAAUUAAAGAUCCAAAUCUUAAUAUUAAGUAAAGGAAAGUACGUGCACCAGAUGGUUUUGUACCACACGCUUCCAAGUUGGAGAAGUUGUCCAAUAAACCUUAUCUC